RNAcentral lists this ribosomal RNA (483 nucleotides) under uncultured bacterium. RNAcentral's name for it is "partial 16S ribosomal RNA". It matches the Rfam family "Bacterial small subunit ribosomal RNA", at positions 30 to 507 of the family's 1533-position model. The record is from RNAcentral.
UUGAACGCUGGCGGCAGGCCUAACACAUGCAAGUCGAGCGGAUGAAGGGAGCUUGCUCCUGGCUUCAGCGGCGGACGGGUGAGUAAUGCCUAGGAAUCUGCCUGGUAGUGGGGGAUAACGUCCGGAAACGGGCGCUAAUACCGCAUACGUCCUGAGGGAGAAAGUGGGGGAUCUUCGGACCUCACGCUAUCAGAUGAGCCUAGGUCGGAUUAGCUAGUUGGUGGGGUAAAGGCCUACCAAGGCGACGAUCCGUAACUGGUCUGAGAGGAUGAUCAGUCACACUGGAACUGAGACAUGGUCCAGACUCCUACGGGAGGCAGCAGUGGGGAAUAUUGGACAAUGGGCGAAAGCCUGAUCCAGCCAUGCCGCGUGUGUGAAGAAGGUCUUCGGAUUGUAAAGCACUUUAAGUUGGGAGGAAGGGCAGUAAGUUAAUACCUUGCUGUUUUGACGUUACCAACAGAAUAAGCACCGGCUAACUUCGUG